GGGGGUGGGUUGGUUUUGACAGCAAGGCAAAUGAUUAGGUAAGCAUGCAGGCACAGGUAACAACCGCCUUAACAGAGGUUACAAAACUAUAAUUGGCGAAAAUCAAUACGCUUUUGCAGCUUAAUCGAAGAUUUCAGUAGAUUUUGCUUACCGUCUAUAAUGACGGGCAAAACAUCUCUCCAAAGCCUUUCGCUCUGCGGCUAAGGAUUAAGAGGUGCUCGGAUAGCAGAGAUAGCAAUUAAGCAUCUUCGGCUUUGUUGUGAAGUUUAAGAAGAUAAGCAUUGGGUAGGGCGUUUGCCUCCGGCUCAUUGACGAAAAUCAAAGGCAGAAUAAGCAUGUAGAAAGCAUAGUUGUUUCUUGUUUGGACCAGGGUUCGAAUCCCUGCACCUCCACUU
Molecule: transfer-messenger RNA, 395 nt
Filed under: Bacteroidales bacterium
Lineage: Bacteria; Pseudomonadati; Bacteroidota; Bacteroidia; Bacteroidales
Rfam family: transfer-messenger RNA
About the family: Bacterial tmRNA, also known as 10Sa RNA or SsrA, is named for its dual tRNA and mRNA-like properties. Its role is to liberate the mRNA from a stalled ribosome.
Source: RNAcentral